CAGCAGCCGCGGUAAUACGGAGGGUGCGAGCGUUAAUCGGAAUUACUGGGCGUAAAGCGUGCGUAGGCGGUUCGUUAAGUCAGAUGUGAAAGCCCUGGGCUCAACCUGGGAACUGCAUUUGAAACUGGCGAACUAGAGUUGAGUAGAGGGGAGUGGAAUUUCAGGUGUAGCGGUGAAAUGCGUAGAUAUCUGAAGGAACACCAGUGGCGAAGGCGACUCCCUGGACUCAAACUGACGCUGAGGUACGAAAGCGUGGGUAGCAAACAGGAUUAGAUACCCUGGUAGUCCACGCCGUAAACGAUGUCAACUAGCCGUUGGUCCUAUAUACAGGAUUAGUGGCGCAGCUAACGCAUUAAGUUGACCGCCUGGGGAGUACGGCCGCAAGGUUAAAACUUAAAGGAAUUGACGG
This 409-nucleotide ribosomal RNA is filed under the name uncultured bacterium. RNAcentral describes it as "bacterial SSU rRNA". It matches the Rfam family "Bacterial small subunit ribosomal RNA", at positions 509 to 916 of the family's 1533-position model. The record is from RNAcentral.